GAAAGUAAGAAAGGGCGCAUGGCGGAUGCCUUGGCUCACGGAGGCGAUGAAGGACGUGAUAAGCUGCGAUAAGCCUUGGGUAGGUGCAAAUAACCUUUGAUCCAAGGAUUUCCGAAUGGGACAACCCAACAGGUUGAAGACCUGUUAUCACUACAAAAGUAGUGAGGCGAACGAAGGGAACUGAAACAUCUUAGUACCUUUAGGAAGAGAAAAUAAAUAAUGAUUCCCCUAGUAGUGGCGAGCGAACGGGGAAUAGCCCAAACCUGCUUUGUGGCAACGCUUAGCAGGGGUUGUAGGACCACGUUGUCGUACUUAGAUUGUGAGAAGAAUGUUCUGGAAAGAACAAUCAUAGAGGGUGAUAAUCCCGUAUUCGAAGCAUGACGAGACGUAGUGGUAUCCUGAGUAACGCGGAACACGUGAAAUUCUGCGCGAAUCUGCCGGGACCAUCCGGUAAGGCUAAAUACUCCCGUGAGACCGAUAGUGAACGAGUACUGUGAAGGAAAGGUGAAAAGCACUCCGAUGAGGAGAGUGAAAUAGUUCCUGAAACCAUGCGCCUACAAGCGGUCGGAGCCGCGUAAGCGGUGACGGCGUGCCUUUUGCAUAAUGAACCUACGAGUUACCAUGUCUGGCAAGGAUAAGCGUCAUGAGACGCGCAUCCGCAGUGAAAGCGAGCCUGAACAGGGCGUCAAGUCAGAUGGGGUAGACGCGAAACCAAGUGAUCUACACUUGCCCAGGUUGAAGUCCGGGUAACACCGGAUGGAGGACCGCACGGAUAAGCGUUGAAAAGCUUCCCGAUGAGGUGAGUGUAGGAGUGAAAGGCCAAUCAAACUUGGAGAUAGCUCGUACUCCCCGAAAGGCAUUUAGGUGCCGCGUGCGACGAUUUCCAUAAGAGGUAGAGCGACCGAUAGGUCAAGAGGGCUUCACCGCCUAUCGAGACCUGACGAACUCCGAAUGCUUAUGGACCGCAGUCGUGCAGUAAGGGGGCGGGUGCUAAGGUCCGUCCCCGAGAGGAGAAGAAUCCAGACCGCCGUCUAAGGUCCCGAAAUUCUGUCUAAGUUAGUCUAACGAAGUCUGGUCCCCGUGACAGCUAGGAUGUUGGCUUGGAAGCAGCCAUUCAUUCAAAGAGUGCGUAACAGCUCACUAGUCGAGGGUCCGGGCAUGGAUAAUAAUCGGGUAUAAGUCAGAUACCGAAGGCGCGGGAUAGUAAUGUAAAUUAAAAGUAUCGGUAGGGGAGCAUUCCAUCGGCGUUGAAUGGUGAGGGUAACCGAUCCUGGAGCUUAUGGAAAAGCAAAUGUAGGUAUAAGUAACGAUAAAAAGGGUGAGAUUCCCUUUCGCCGAAAGACCGAGGUUUCCCGGGCGAUGCCAAUCAGCCCGGGGUUAGUCGGGUCCUAAGUCUCAGCCGAACGGCGAAGGCGAUGGCAGAUGCGGUUAAUAUUCCGCAACUCGCAUAUACAGUGAUGUGGAGACGGAGCAGUGACACUGCCGCGCCCUGACGGAAUAGGGCGUUUAAGUGCGUAGGCUAUGAGGAAGGCAGGCAAAUCCACCUUCCGAGCUGAACCAUGAAAGUACAGGUAAUCCUUCGGGAUAACUUGAGUGCAGGUAAUCAUACUUCCGAGAAAAUCCGCUAAACUUAAUGUAUGUGCGACCCGUACCGCAAACGGACACACGUGGUCGGGUAGAAUAUACUAAGGCGUUGAGAGAUUCAUGGUUAAGGAACUAGGCAAAUUGACCCCGUAACUUCGGGAUAAGGGGUCCUCAUAGCAAUAUGAGGCGCAGAGAAUCGGUCCAGGCAACUGUUUAACAAAAACACAGGGCUGUGCAAACUCGAAAGAUGAAGUAUACAGCCUGACACCUGCCCGGUGCCGGAAGGUUAAGAGGAGAUGUCACCAGCAAUGGGAAGCAUUGAAUUGAAGCCCCGGUAAACGGCGGCCGUAACUAUAACGGUCCUAAGGUAGCGAAAUUCCUUGUCGGGUAAGUUCCGACCUGCACGAAUGGUGUAAUGAUCUGGACGCUGUCUCAACCAUGAGCUCAGUGAAAUUGUAGUAUCGGUGAAGAUGCCGAUUACCCGCGAUGGGACGAAAAGACCCCGUGAACCUUUACUACAGCUUAGCAUUGACCUUGGUCAUCCGAUGUGUAGGAUAGGCCGGAGGCUUUGAAUCGGGUGCGCCAGCAUUCGUGGAGCCAUCCUUGAAAUACGGCCCUUUGGCUGU
RNAcentral lists this ribosomal RNA (2210 nucleotides) under human metagenome. RNAcentral's name for it is "bacterial LSU rRNA". It matches the Rfam family "Bacterial large subunit ribosomal RNA", at positions 1 to 2214 of the family's 2925-position model. The record is from RNAcentral.